UAAGAGCGUACGGGGGGAUGCCUAGGCUCUCAGAGACGACGAAGGACGUGGUAAGCUGCGAAAAGCUACGGGGAGCUGCAAACUAGCGUUAAUCCGUAGAUGUCCGAAUGGGGAAACCUGCAUGGUUGAAGACCAUGUACCGAAAGGAGUGAACCCGAUGAACUGAAACAUCUAAGUAGUCGGAGGAAGAGAAAACAAAAGUGAUUCCGCAAGUAGUGGCGAGCGAACGCGGAUUAGCCCAAACCGAUUCGAUACGUCGGGUCGGGGUUGUAGGACCUGCAAAAAGGAUGAUAAACCAAGUGGAAGUUGUUGGAAAACAGCACCGUAGAGGGUGAUAGUCCCGUAUACGUAAGUUGGUCAUCUGGGCGGGUAUCCUGAGUAAGGCGGGACCGGUGAAAUCCUGUCUGAAACUGCCGGCACCAUCCGGUAAGGCUAAAUACUCCUGAGAGACCGAUAGUGAACCAGUACCGUGAGGGAAAGGUGAAAAGAACCCCAGCAGGGGAGUGAAAAGACCCUGAAACCGUACGCUUACAAGCGGUCGGAGCUAUACUUCGGUAUAGUGACGGCGUCG
Molecule: ribosomal RNA, 571 nt
Filed under: uncultured bacterium
Lineage: Bacteria
Description: bacterial LSU rRNA
Rfam family: Bacterial large subunit ribosomal RNA
Source: RNAcentral